GUAGAUGAAAAGUGUCAAAGAAGAGGAAGUGUUUUAUAUGAGAAUAAAAAUGUGUACACUUCAAAAUCACCUUCACAUCUUAAGAAGGCCAAAAACUUCAACAUAUUGCUUCACCUAAUUUUUUCAGGACAUCUUGGUCAUUCUUAUACCUGAAAAGGGAAAUAAGAAAUUAUGUACCCUAGUGCUUAUAUAUUUAAACAGUGUAAAAGCUUAGAAGUAUCUACUAUCACAGCUUGAUAAAUCAAGCAACUCUAAAGUCAAUUUGAAUAGACAUUUCCAGUGAAACAAACUUUGGGUCCAUUUUAUUAGAAACUUGGUUCAUUUUGAAUGGACUACUCGUCAAGAUGAUAAAAAAUUCAAUAGCUUUAUCGAUAGACAACAUAGCUUUAUCGAUAGAACAACAUUACACUGAAAUUUAGAUAUUACCAAAAUCAGUCAUCGAACAUUAUCAGUACACAAAAUAUCAUACUAUAGAUCUUUUUUCAAGGAAAAUCUGUUAUAGGGACUCAAAAUUUAAUGAGUGAGAAAAAGAAAAUAGAGUGUACCUGAAAGGCUUUAAAAUAGCACAUAAAUUUAAUCUUGAAUAAUAUUUAUAUCUUCUGUAAAAGAUAACACGAAACUCAAGUGAAGCUACACAAUCGAAGCCUCAUUGAAAAAAGCUAAAAAUUCUAAUUUGCUUAUUCCUUUUCCAUUACAAAAGCUGAUCAAGCAUAGAUUUAUGUACAUUAUCUCAACAUAAUAUAUUUCACAUAAAAAGAAAUAAUUCAACCAUGGAAGCAAUAUAUUGAUGAUACUACGAUCUUAUCUCCAAGACAAUCUUUGUAUGUAAAGAAAGUACCACAACCAAACAGAAUUAUAUUUUGGUUUCAUAGAUUAAAACUCAAACUUACAAUAAGGUGUCGGCCACAAAUACCCUUGAAAUAAAAAAAAUCACAUACUAUAUCGAGCACUCAAAUAAAUGUGUUUCCAGUAUUGUUAAGAGUUUUAAGACAAUCUAAUUCUACUUUACCUUAAUCAAUCUUCAAUUGAGAAUAGUUGGCUAGAAAAAGUAAAAUUCAUGACAUAUAAAACAUGCCUCAGAGCUACAUAAACUAUUAAGAGUGAGAACUCAUCCAAAAUAAGUAACUAUGAAUCUUUCUUGUAAAGGAGAAAAGAAGUUAAUCAUAUUUUUUAGAAUAACCAACACAUACUAUAAUUAUUUUUUUUGCUUUCUCAUCCAGUGUCCGAUAUUUACAUUCACAUUGGGAGGAAGUCCCACAUUGGGAGGUAAAGGUCUCCCUAACAAAGACAAGAAAACUUGAACCUGAGAUCUCUAGAUUAAGGAUGAAGGAGUACUUAGUCCUCCAUCACAACCCUUGUUGGUAACACGUACUUUUUUAUUAUUAUUAAUAUCCAAUAAGUAUCUAAAAAAAUAUUUCCAUUGUUAAUAGUCACCAGGCUCAAGUAAAAAUUUACAACUGAUAUCAGAUUUGCUUGUCCAUUUAUGAAGUGUUUCAAAAUAUAGCAGAAAAAUUCAUUUGUGGAGUAUCAAAAAAGAGUCAUUUCAGUUGUAUUCUCAAUAUGAAAGUAUGGUUGAGUUAUAAGUUUAUUCACCCUUUUCAUCUUUAUUAUAGUAUUUAUUGAAGCAAAUGUACAUCAGAUUUGUAUCGCAAGUGGAGAAAGAUAAAAGUUAAAUCAAAUAAUAUUCUAAAGAAAAAUCAUUGAAAAGACAUCAGAUAAAUCAAUUAAAUAUGAACUUUUUCAGUAGUUUCUUUGUACAUUAUUCCAUUAUUUUUGUGGAUCCAAUUAAAGUUUGUUGACAAUGAAAGUACUUAUUUGACAUUUAAAAGAUAGAUGAAUGAAAAAUAACAACACAUGAGAGAAUGAUAACUUAUUUAAAAAAACGACCUGAUAUUACCAUUCAAAUUCACUUCACGAUCUAUGCAAUCAUCAAUUGAUCGAACAUUAAUAUAUUGCUUGAGAUAUGUUGAAGCAAUUGACAAAAUAAAUAAAUAAAUAUUUAACAAUAAAAUGUAAAUCAAAACACCUUCUAUAAACACAAAUAACAAAUGGAGAGAAUUUCAACAUUAUUAGACUAACUUGGUGAAGUGCUAUUUUUCCUUCUCUUCUUAUUAGUCCCAAGUUUAUGUUCUAUAUAUUUUGUCAUGUAAAUAGUCUAGCAACAAAAGUCCCAAAUACAAUCUUAUUAUUUAUUUGCAUUACGACAAUUCCCAAUUCAAUUACUGUAAACCUUGUUUACAAUUUUUUGCAAUGAUUAAAAUUUACUUUUGAAAUAACACAAUGGGACUUAAUUAAGUUAUCAAAUGUUUUCAACUAUAAUUCCAAACAAAUGCUUACAUGUUCAAUAAAGAAAUACACGUACAGAAAUACUUAGAAAUGAAGCUUACCACUAAUGGAAUAUCCUUAAUUCUAAGGCAAAUACCCAAAGAACCUAUUACAUGUUAUUUCUCAAGAAGAUAGAAUUUCAUAAAAUUACUAUCGGAUCGAGUUUUAUCAGCUUCAGCUUCAUUUUUCUGUAAGUUAAGCCAUCAAAAUUAGAACAAUUUGUCUUAGAAAAAAGGGUGAUCAAAAUUAUUGACAUAAUCCAUUACUAACCUUAGAGAAUUUUAUUCAUGUAGCAUGUCUAUAUUCUCGUUAAUACCUCUGACGCGACUAUAUGCAAUUGAUACAAAGUAGUAAAUGAGUACCAAAUCAGUUUUGAAAAGAGCCAAAAGGCCAGCAAUGAUGGAGGAUCAAAUAUAAAACGAUAACACCCAUUUCAAAAUUUAGAACUUCUGAAAAAGAAAUUGGCGAGACAAAAAAAAAGAAUUAAAGUCCAGAACAAACAGAAGAAAAUAAAACAAAUUAUCUUUUGAGGGAGAAAGAAUUGAAUUUAGUUUCAAA
This 2883-nucleotide long non-coding RNA is filed under the name Solanum lycopersicum (tomato). RNAcentral's name for it is "long non-coding RNA (SLYC_LNC001133)". The record is from RNAcentral. Lineage: Eukaryota; Viridiplantae; Streptophyta; Magnoliopsida; Solanales; Solanaceae.